This 382-nucleotide ribosomal RNA is filed under the name Nostoc sp. NR2(2012). RNAcentral's name for it is "bacterial SSU rRNA". It matches the Rfam family "Bacterial small subunit ribosomal RNA", at positions 355 to 751 of the family's 1533-position model. Lineage: Bacteria; Bacillati; Cyanobacteriota; Cyanophyceae; Nostocales; Nostocaceae. The record is from RNAcentral.
UCGGGACUUUUCCACAUUGGUUGAAACCCCUCGGAGCAUUACCCCGUGAGGGAGGAAGGCGCUUGGGUUGUAAACCUCUUUUCUCAAGGAAUAAGAAAGUGAAGGUACUUGAGGAAUCAGCAUCGGCUAACUCCGUGCCAGCAGCCGCGGUAAUACGGAGGAUGCAAGCGUUAUCCGGAAUGAUUGGGCGUAAAGCGUCCGCAGGUGGCUAUGUAAGUCUGCUGUUAAAGAGCAAAGCUUAACUUUGUAAAAGCAGUGGAAACUACAUAGCUAGAGUGCGUUCGGGGUAGAGGGAAUUCCUGGUGUAGCGGUGAAAUGCGUAGAGAUCAGGAAGAACACCGGUGGCGAAGGCGCUCUACUAGGCCGCAAGUAGAGGUCGACA